CUCACUCAUGCCCUCUCCCUCUAGUGUGGGAAAACAAGAGGAACCUCCAAAAUUUCCUAGCUGCACAAAGAAAUUGGUGGAAAUUCACUUCAUUUUGAAGCUCGGGGUUUCUAUGUGGUUGAUUUAAUCAAAAUAUUAAUGUGAUUUUUCUAGAAGAAGAAAAAGGGAAAAUAUAAAAAUCAUGCUGAUUGGAUUUGAAUAGAUUGUAUUGAUCAUAUAUGAAUAUUAUCUUUCAUCCAGAUUGGAAAGUACUGUUUUGAAAUCCAGUCCUUCACACUUCCAAACUGAUCAUUUUUAAUAAGUAAAUGUCAUUUUGGCUUUUUUUUUUUUUUUCUGGUCAGGAAGAAAAACAAGAAGUUUCCUUCCGCAAACUUCCUAAAAGGUGCCAUGUGUUUUCCUAAAACCAAGGAAAAUUCUAAAAUAGAACUACCAUAUGAUUCAGCAAUCCCACUUCUCUAAAUCUCCAGAAUCUCCAGGGAUUGGAACCAAGUGCUUUAUCUUUACCAUAUACCAAUCCAUGAAUCAACUCCAAAACAGAUCUCUAGAAACAGACAAGACUGACUACUGCCUGAAGGUUUCUGACACCAAGUUCCUGAGAUGUACCAAAUAUGAAAUAAUUUUAGAAUUCGAUCUCAAAUGGCCCUUUUGCAAACUCCAAAAUGUUGUGUAAGUCCAUUUUCUCUUUUGCAUUAUUCUCACAAACAUACUAAAACGUGAUUUGAUGUCUUCUAUUUAUAUUAGUGGUUCAAACAGUUUUAAGCAUACGAAUUAUUUUUCUUCUUAUUUUUUAGAACAUCCUCUUAGGUAGUGCUUCUUCUGUUACCAGUGACAUAAAUGAUCUUUUGUAUCAUAUAACUUAAAGGUUAAAGGGUCAGCUGACUUUUGGUGACAUUAGAUUAUAAAUUCAGGUGAUGUCAUUGGACUCUCUUUACUCAAGUCUCAUCUCUGCUUUCCUUGCAUUUAGGGUUGUCAGAUAAAAUAAUGUCUCCUUAAAUUUAAAUUUCAGAGAGACAAUAAAGAAUGUUUAAUAUAAGUGUAUCACAUACAUUCCAUGGGACAUGCUAUGUUUAGUCUUGCUGUUGUCAUUUUUUUUCCCUGUAAAUCGACACAAAUAUCAAAUUGUUCUCAGGUGGACUUUCUUCAGCUGUCCACUCUUACCAAAAUCUCUAAAUUUAUGCCCCGCAGAUUAGUCACUAAAGAGAAAAGUGAGUGUCUUUUUUCUUAAAGUCUCCAAUUGGGUCUUAUUGGAACAAAUUGAGUAAUAGUCCUCAAACAAUUGCUAUGACCUAAGAGAUAAAAUAUACUCAUUUGUUAGGUCUGGAUCAUACAAGGCAGAAGGCAUGAAUGUGUCAGCUUCACCAAACCAUAUACACUGAGAGUCAUUGAGAGGCUACUGCCAGAAAGAAAAACAAGGUUCAGUGGGGAAAUGUAUAUUAGACAACAAAAAGCAAAAUAUGACUAGCGGAGAACUUUCUUAAUAUGGCUCUACUUUUAAUAUCCUUGAUUCAUAAUAAUAAUAAAUCUAAUAUAAAUUCAGGUAUAUUUUAAAGUGAUGUGCAUUUUAUCAGCCGCAGCUAAUUCACUCUUUAUAUUGUAUUGAACAUUAAUAAAUAUCAACAGCUCAAUGUGUGGGCAGCAUGGAUUAACAGGCACCUUGCAGUAAUUGUGUGGCAAAGAGAGCAGUUGAAUUUCUGUCAGGAAAAUAGCAUUUCUCACAUUACACAGCCCUGGAGUCUGGUCUUAUCUCUAUCUCUUAUACCUCUGAACAAAGUAAUUCAACUCUCUAAGAAUCUUGAACUGUAAUCUGGGAAUUUAAUAAUCUGCUUCACUGGAUUAUUCAAGUGAUGUUAAGAUAAUGUUUCAAAUUACCAUAGCAUAGCAGCUGGCAUAUUGUAAUCUCUCAGAAAGGUUAACUGGAUUAUUAUCAGCAAUGACCUUAAAAUAAUCUUUCAAGUUGAUAUGAUUUGGCUCUGUGUCCCCACCCAAUUCUCAUCUCAAAUUGUAAU
This 2006-nucleotide long non-coding RNA is filed under the name Homo sapiens (human). Its description in RNAcentral is "HSALNT0378450". The record is from RNAcentral. Lineage: Eukaryota; Metazoa; Chordata; Mammalia; Primates; Hominidae.